UUCUGGGCCUCACCCGGCAGCCUGAAGCUCCACAGGAACUGCCUAGGGGGGACAGGAUCAUGGUCAGUGAAGCAGAAAGCACCUGUCCCUGAAGACAGGGGUUUGGCCAUCUUGUCUUAUAUGGACAGCAUUUGGAAGAGAGCUCAGAGCACACCAGGCACAAACAACAUGCAUGCGUGCAUGUAUGAAUGAAUGCAUGCAUGAAUGAGUGAAUGCAUGCAUGCAUGCAUGAGUGAAUGAAUGAAUAUUCCAGAGCCUGGGAACCAGUGCUCACCCCAAGUCCUAAGCAUGAUGGCUUCCCAAGCACUGUUCAUCCUGAGUGGUAUGUUCACCCCUACGCCCUCACUUCCUGCUCCCUGUCUGGGGAUCCUCUUACUUUUCCCCCAAGUAGGUGCCAAUGGCUGUCUUGUUGAGACCGUCACCCUUGUACAGGAACUGGGCGAUGUCCUGGACAUCAGAGGUCAGCAGCUUGUGCUCAAUGAGAUACUGGAUGCCCUAGAGAUGACACAGCAUUCAUGAGCAACCCCCCCUAGCAUAGGCACCUGGUGGAGGAGGGGAUAAGGAGGGGGACCUGGUGUUUGGGUUCCCUACAUGGUGUUCUCGAGCCGCCUUUGGGAGGUGGUAAGCUCCCCAUCUCUGGAGGCAUGCUCAGGGAGCUAAGUGAAGCAGUGCUUCCCGGGGUCCCUCCAGCCUGGCACACUUAGACUGCAGCCUCCCGUGGUUGCUGAAAGUCACAGUUCUAAGCCUCAGUGAGUCAGCCUCUCAUUUUAUUAGCGCCCCACUCUUAUUAUUCUAAAUAGUUUCAUUUCACCGCAGUAGCAAUCUACGUUCAUUGUGUAAAAGUCACACAGACCAGCUGAAACAAAAAGGGAGGUGACUGCAUGAACCCCACCUGGGAGGUAGCCAGCUUCCAUGGCAAUGACUUUCACUGCUCUUCUCUAGUGGGUGGGAGGGUGUACCCCACCUUCUGGCACUUUGACGCCAGCUUCGCUGGGCACCCUGUGGCCAGAGCUGGCGACGUAUGUGCUUGUUUGUAAGAGGACAGGUAAGUGGAGCAGUGUGGUCUAGGGCUCGGGCCUGUGAAAGGCGAAUACACAGCCGAAGCAGUCUCAGCCAGGGCUUGGCAUUCUCUGUGGCUGCUUGGACUCUUGCCCUAGUGUGGUGUGUGGCUUCCUCCUGUGGCUGUCCCUGGUGGAGAGGAAACCCAUGGCCACCUGGCAGAAGGAAGGGCUGCUGGCUGGCUCCGAAGCCAUGGGCAAUGAAGCCCAUUCCAAAGUAGGGCAUGGAGCCAGAGAAGCAAGGGGAUUGGUCCCAGGCAGGGACUUCACAGCCUUCCAGUCUUUGGGCUGUGGUGUUAGGGAAUGAACAGAGGCCAGGGAACCAAAGGCUUGUCCCUGUUGGGUGGUUUGCAGGGUCAGCCACAAAGGUGCCCAGAAGACAGCUCCUCUGGGCACCUUGGUGAGACCCAUGUCCUCCUCCUGUGGUCACCAAGAUGCACACUUUGGUGGGGGUCUAUGUCCCCUCCCCUGGAUUUGUACCUUAUUAGGGUCCAUGUUGAAUUUCUUUCUCCCGAUGCACAUCUCCUUCUCUUUCUGCGCCAUCCGGCUGUGAACAGAGGCACAUCAACACGGUGGCUCUGGAUGCCACCAUCCCCCAUAAGCCCCGAGGGGGCCUUCCUCAGGAGAGCCAGCAUGCCCUUGGAACUCCAUGUGUAGCCCCGCCCCUGGACCACAUGAGAGAGCAAGAACAGGCUGAGAGGUGUCAAGGGGCAGGGUCUCAGUUUCCUUCUCUGCAAGAACCACCUGCUGCCCUCAUGCAGGGCAUGUGUGUGUGUGUGUGUGUGUGUGUGUGUGUGUGUGUGUUCAUGUGUAUUCAUGAAUGUGCAUGUACACGAGUCGCUUGAGAAGCAGGGACUUUGGAGGCUGGGUGGGCUCCCGGCAAACCAGGUGUAGUUCAAUAGUUCAGUGCCCUAGGGUCCUAGCAGGCAUGUCCAGCCUGCUGGCUACAAGUGGCUGCAUCUGCCCAGGAGAGCUAUGAAUGCCAACCAAAUACAUAACUUACUUAGAAUGUUAAAAGAUUUAUUCUUUUUUUUUCAAUUUGUAGCUCAAAUGUCAUUUGUGGUUUUACAAGGACAAUGUCAAGAGGGUUGGGUCUAGGAGAUUGUGUGGGAACCCAACCUUCUCCUUACACAAAUGGGGAUACUGAGGCUCAGAAAGACGGCCCAACCUGAGAGCAAAGAGCCAGCAGGAACUUUCUUGUGUGAGGAAUGAUGUGGGCCUGCAGACCUACUCCAGGCCCAGAUACCAGAGCUCUCUCACCCUUGUCCAGGGUCAGGGUCAGGGUCAGGGUUUUUUGCCCAUCCACUUCUAGCAGCCUCUGACCGGUAAUGUGCAGGCAGUGCUGUGGGGGGAGAGGUGAGAGCUUGGGGUUGUUUGAGAAUCAAUGGGGAGUGGUCCAGACAGUGCGUAUGGGGCUGUAGGCAUCUCCUUGGGUCCCACCACCAUCCAUGGCACACAGGGAGUGCCCAGGAAUCGUCUUCCCACGGGCCAGGUCCCUCACCUCUCCUCGGUGCUUUCAAAGCAGUCGAUUUGGGCAAACACAUCUGCAAUCUCAUCCUUCAGUUUCUGUGGACACACAUACAAGGGUCAGCCUGGAGGCCCCACUCUGCUUAAGGGGUCCUCCCUCAGCCUUCUUGGCCCCACCCCCUUUCUGGGCCUUUUUAUCUUCAAAGUGGGAUCUCAGUACCUCUGUUUGGCUCUUGUGCAUGUACCAGCCCUCGUCUCAGGGGUGGGAGUCCCUGUGCACACACCCAACCCUAGUUCCAGCUUGCUUUUUCUGCCCACGUGAUCAGGAAGUCUCCUGCACGCUGUCCCCACCAACAGGCCCUCACUCCACCUGGCUGGCAGCUUCUCAUAGCAGCACGGCACUGCUAUUCCCUGGUCAGAAUUCCUCUGUGGCUCUCCGUGGCCACCCAGGGCAACGGACCCCACUUUUUGUCCAGCAACACAUCUUUCCAGUCACUUGUCAGUAAGCGCCUGUCUGUCAUAUGUGGAGUGCUAUGGGUGCCCCCGUGCAUGGGCAGCACAGGCCUCUCAGGAGCUGUGCAGUUCAUUGGAACAGCCACGGCCGAUGGGGCAUUCACAGGCCUGCAGAGCAGAUUCUAGGUCUCUGCUGCUCCCAAUUCCAUCCAGGGCUUGCCCAGUACAGAGGAGGGCCCCUCACCCAGCUUGCCCACCAACCACAUUUGCUGGACUGCUCAGAGAGUAGCUCUGUCCUGGUACCUCCCUGCAGGUAGUAGGUGAACAGGGCAAAUGGGCCAAGAGGCAAGCACCCUCUCCCUACAAGAUGAGGGGUACUGAGAUGUGGUACUCCUAGGGAUCAGAACUGGCAUGGGACCCCUUGCUCUGAGGGCUGACAGAUCCUAUCCCCAGGGAUCUUGGCUUAGCUUCCACCCACAGGCAUAACAGGGACACCCUCACUAGUGUUAACUGAGGACCUAAGUGCUAUAGUUAUGGGGCCAGGGGUCAGGGAUGAACAAGGCCCGGGUUCUGUUUUCAUAGAGCUAGAGUUUGGAGAUGUUGGGGCCAUGGGUGCAUGUCAAGGGGGUGAGGGGGCAAAGGAGAGAUCUAAGCAGAAAGUAACCACAGGGAUGGCUGAGGAGGAGCCUGACACGUGUAUGUAUGUACUCAAUAGGAUGCUAGCCGUGCUGGUGGUCCCGUGUGGAAUCAAGUGUGCAUGUGUGUCUAAGUUUCAGGCAGCCUGGAGGAGGAGGAGGUAGGGCCUUGUUCAGAAAGACGAAGGUGUGGGAGUGUGAGGAGAGCUGAGAGGAACCCCAAGUGGAGGCAAAGAAGUGUGCAGAGGCCCAGAGACUGGACUGAGCAAGGUGAGGAUGGAUGGACCUCAAGAAUGGUGUCCUGUUUCUGGAGGCCACUAAUAAUCACGGGAGUGAUCAUUUAAGAAACCGGUGAGCUCCCCAGAGCUGAGCCCAGGGUGGGUGUGAUCUUAUCCAAAGGAUGGGUGUGACCUUGUCCAAAGGACACAAGAGGGAGGAGUCACAAGCUUGCAACCUGGUCUGCUCUGGGCCUGGCCGCUGAGCCGGUGUGGGCAAUCCCUGGCAGGUUCAACCUACUUUCUAUUUUUGAGGUGGGAUUAAGACUGGAGCUCUGGGACCUAGGAUUGAGCUGAGAGGAGCCAGGGAUCUAGGACUCAGGGUGGGGGAGCUGAUGCUUGGAUCUUGAGGGGAGGGGGUGGUGUCUGGGGCUUUGGGGAGGAGAAGACAAAGUCUGACUGGCUUUCUGAACAUUUGGUCAGGAGAGUGGGAGAUUGUGUUGAGGGCUGGCUUGUGGGCAUAUGUAGUUUAGCCAUUAGUAUGAGUGUGUGUGGGUCUCAGUGUGAGAAUGUGUGGGUCAGAAUGGGACCAGGUAUGAGUGUGUUGAGUGUGAGUGUCUGUGGGUCUAUGAGUGUGAGCAUAUGUAUGAACACACCUGGAUGUCUUCCAGUAGCUGCUUCCUGUGCCAUUUGAUCUGCUGUAGCUCCUUGGCCUCCCCACUGCUGAGCUCAGCUGGAUCUGGAGAGAGAGAGAGAGAGAGAGAGAGAGAGAGAGAGAGAGAGAGAGAGAGAGAGAAGAGGAUUGCUUGGUUCUGCAUCUCAGAGCCCCUCCUAGGGAGACCCCUGAAAUAAAGUGAGACCCAUGAUGCUGGUGACCCUUGCUGGUACCACUGGAGCCUGACUGGAUGCCACCACCGCUGAGAGGCAUCCUUGGACGUCCCUCUCUAGAGUGGCCCCACUUCUUCAUCAUAAUUCCUUUUACUCCCUGGAGAGAGAUUUCCUGUGGCCAUUGUGGGGUCACCUGGCCAUACCUAGCUGCAAGGGAAGCUGGCAAAUGAGCUUCACUAGGGUGAUCCCUAUGUUGUAAGAAGGGAAAACAGAGCCUUUCCAACUUGGGCCUGGCAGAAUGGCUCCCACAAAGAAGGGUGGCAAGAAGAAGAAGGGCCACUCUGUCAUCAGUGAGGUGGGGACUUGAGAAUAUACAUUCACAAACGCAUCCAUGGAGUGGGCUUCAAGAAGUGUGUCCCUAGGGCACUCGAGGAAAUCUGGAAAUUUGCCGUAAGGGAGAUGGGGAGUCCAGAUGUGUGCAUUGAUCAGGCUUGAUAAUGCUGUCUGGGCCAAAGGAAUAAGGAAUGUUUCAUAUCAUAUCUGAGUACGUUUGUCCAGAAAACGUAAUGAGAAUGAGGAUUCACCAAACAAGCUCUACGCAUUGGUAACUUACACGCCUGUAACUACAUUAAAAAAUCUAUAGACCACCAAUGUAGAUGAGAACACUAAACCUGCUGAAUGUCAAAUACAGUGGCAGAACUGCCAACAAAAAAAGAAAGAAGAGAAAACAGAAUUUGGGGGCAGGGUUGGCACAACAUCAGUCUAUGCUCUAAGACACUAUAACUCAGAUGUGAGAAGUAAACUGGGACCUUGGAUUGGACUGGCUCCCAAUCCCAUGCUGUCCCAUUAUCCUCCAAAACAAAGAGAGACCCACAAUGCUGGAGCCACACCAGGACACUGCACACUCGUCCCACCUACCAUACUCCAGUCAGGACCUCCACGGAGCCAGGCACAGCAGCUCAUCAUACUUGUAAUCCUAACAUUUGGGAGGUUGAGGCAGGAGGAUUACAAGUUUGAUGCCAGCCUAGGCUAUAGGGUGAGAUGCAGUCUCAUCAACAACAACCAAAAGCCAAACAAUCAAAAGCAAACUACAGCCAACAACGUGGGCAGCUAAGGAUCUCCAAGCCAUCCCAGAAAGACCACGGUGGAGACCUUGGUCAGGGCACUUGAUUCACCACUUCCUGUGGUUCAGGAAGAGAGGGUGUCCUUGAGUUCCUGCUAGCAGUGACUAACUGAGACAAAGGCCAAAUGAAAGGACAGUGGAAAGGUUGGGGAGCAGGGAACGCAGGUUGCGAGGAGACAUGGGUGGUUCUAUGGAGGAUGGCAAGCAGAGAUUUGCAGGGGUUAUCAGCAGGCAGGCACCCAGGAGGGGCAUGAAGACACGACCAGUGACCAGCUCAGCUGACUCACCAGCCUCCUACGGGGCCAUCUUGGCCCUGGAACAGCAAAGGAAGUAGCCAUAUGGCAUGAGAAGAAGCUGGAGUCCUUCCUAGGUCCCCUGACGACCACCCAUCAAUGUCCAACCAGCCGGAUGCAGAUACAGGCACUGGGCCACUGUUUCCCUUGGACUGGAACCUUUGCUCUCAAAAAGACCGGCCAGUUCUUUACUUUUAUUUUUGUGUUGCUAAGGAUAGAACCAGAGGCUUUGAACAGGCCUGACAGAUUCCCGACCACUGCGCCCCAUCCUGUCCCAGCUAUUCAUGUUGGCUGGAGUCCGCACAGGUUCAGAUAGAUACCGCUCCUCUACUCAAGGGCUUUCAAUGCCAUGGGACCAUAGGAAGCCCAGAUCCCCUUCUUAGCAAAGGUUGUGUGCAAUGGGACCUGAAUGUCCCCACCCUUUGUCAUCAUCAAGGCCUGCUAGAGAAUGGAGCAGCCUUGUGUGGAUGCAGAGAAGGUUCCCUGCUUGGAUCACCCCUCCAGGAUGCACCAUGCCCCUUCCCAUUGCACAUGCAGCUGGGUGCGGGGCUCCUUAAGUGGAAGUGCAGGCCUGUCACCUCAGUGGGAUUUUCUUUUUGUCCCUGCAGGGGUAGAGAUCCUCUUCCAAGGGGGCAGAGAGGAGUGUGAUGCAGGUCUCAUGGAAGUCCAAACUCUUGGAUACCCAAGGGACCCCGGUCAUUUAGUCUCCAUGAUUCUUUACAGGGGUAGUUCUCAGUUUAAGACUCGGGGACUCAGGGGGUGAGGUGACAUAUCCCAGGUCACACAACUGGAAAGGAACAGUAUGGGAUUUCAGUAUGGUUACUGAUACAGGCUUUGCCCAGGCAAGCCAGGUGUGAGUAUGUAUGUGCGCAUACAUGCAUGCAUGUGUGUACGCAUGCUUGUGUGUGUGUGUACAUGUGUGUGCAUGCAUGUAUCUGUGUUUGGAGAGUGAAUGAGCAUGUAUGUCCACCCCUGUAGAGGUCAGAGGCUGACACCACGUGUCUUCUUCUCUUUGAGACAGGUUUUAUCCCUGGCUGUCCUGGAACUCAGUCUGUAGACCAGGCUGGCCUCAAACCCUACCUGCCUCUGCCUCCUGAGUGCCGGAACUAAAGGCAUGCACUGUCACUGACAGCAUCUCUCGUGAAACCUAGACUGACUGGCUACCAAGCUGCACCUGGACCUCAGUCAUCUCUGGGAAUUCCCCUCUACCCAGCCUCUUCUGAGCUCUAGGAAUGCACCCCAAUCCCAGGCACCUGACAGCACCUCCCUCUAGCCUCUGGGCACCGCCAUCGCCAGGUUCAUGGCGGAGCCAGAAGCAGCUUGGGAGAGCCUUUGCCACCAUCCCCUUCCAUAAACAUCACAAAGGAGCCCGUGCCUCCUGCAGAAGAGACCCAGCCCUGGCACCUGCAGGGCAGAUGCCCACAUUCUCAGAGGCAGGCCAGGAAGACAAAGGACCAGCCGUUCACAGACAAUGAAUCUGAGGAGAGCCCCGGCCUCCAUGGGCUUCUGUGGGACCUGGGUAACAGAAAGAUUCCCCCUUCCCUGAUGCCUCCCCCAGGAAGUCCCCAGUCCCCUUUCUCAUUCUUCUCAUUUGUGGGUAUGGCCAGGCGGGGAUCAGAGUCCUCUGUCCCUCCACUCAGCACCCUGGAAUGUCAACCAGCUCCCCUUUGGCCAUUUUGAAGCAUGCCACGGGGCCGUUUGUAAAAUGGAUGAAUAAAUAAUGAACAAACAGAAUGAUGGAGCAGUCCGUGGAGACCCUUUGCCUGGUCUCCCUUUGCCUUCUUGUUGGCCUUGAACCUCAGCCUAGUCCCUGUGUCUUUGUGGAACUUAACUCAACCGCCCCCCCCCCCCCCCACACACACAACACCCAAAGAGACAAGGGAGAGGUUAUAUUAAGGAGAUCUUUGGUGGCCAGAG
Molecule: long non-coding RNA, 7989 nt
Organism: Mus musculus (house mouse)
Lineage: Eukaryota; Metazoa; Chordata; Mammalia; Rodentia; Muridae
Product: predicted gene, 52186
Exons: 4
Source: RefSeq, a predicted model, not a curated record